UACGAAGGGUGCAACCGUUGCUCGGAAUUAUUGGGCGUAAAGCGCACGUAGGCGGCAUUGCAAGUCGGAUGUGAAAUCCCUCGGCUUAACCAAGGAAGUGCAUCCGAAACUGCAGUGCUUGAGUACUUAAGAGGAUCGCGGAAUUCUUGGUGUAGCGGUGAAAUGCGUAGAUAUCAAGAGGAACACCUGAGGUGAAGACGGGUUGCUGGGCUGACACUGACGCUGAGGCGCGAAAGCCAGGGGAGCAAACGGG
Molecule: ribosomal RNA, 253 nt
Filed under: uncultured bacterium
Lineage: Bacteria
Description: partial 16S ribosomal RNA
Rfam family: Bacterial small subunit ribosomal RNA
Source: RNAcentral